RNAcentral lists this ribosomal RNA (465 nucleotides) under uncultured bacterium. Its description in RNAcentral is "bacterial SSU rRNA". It matches the Rfam family "Bacterial small subunit ribosomal RNA", at positions 338 to 795 of the family's 1533-position model. The record is from RNAcentral.
CCUACGGGAUGCACCAGUGGGGAAUAUUGCACAAUGGGCGCAAGCCUGAUGCAGCCAUGCCGCGUGUGUGAAGAAGGCCUUCGGGUUGUAAAGCACUUUCAGCGGGGAGGAAGGCGUUAAGGUUAAUAACCUCAUCGAUUGACGUUACCCGCAGAAGAAGCACCGGCUAACUCCGUGCCAGCAGCCGCGGUAAUACGGAGGGUGCAAGCGUUAAUCGGAAUUACUGGGCGUAAAGCGCACGCAGGCGGUUGAUUAAGUUAGAUGUGAAAUCCCCGGGCUUAACCUGGGAAUGGCAUCUAAGACUGGUCAGCUAGAGUCUUGUAGAGGGGGGUAGAAUUCCAUGUGUAGCGGUGAAAUGCAUAGAGAUGUGGAGGAAUACCGGUGGCGAAGGCGGCCCCCAGGACAAAGACUGACGCUCAGGUGCGAAAGCGUGGGGAGCAAAUAGGAUUAGAUACCCUGGUAGUC